GUCUCUGCUGAAAGCUGGAGCCACCCCCACUGACGUUGGGUUAUUCCUUUUGUGAUGCCCCUGCAGGAAACAGAAGUUGUCGUGGCAGCAGUGGAGUGUCCACAGUGAUCCCUCGAAGGUCUCGGGCAGACUGUGUCUGCGCGUGAAGGGUGCUGGGAAGGUCCCUGCAGGAGCCUGACUGCCGAGGCUGCUCCAGGUUUCUGGCAGCAGAUGACAGGCUGGGACGGCAACGGGAGAAGGAGCACGGCUUAACUCCGCGCGGAGGGUCAUCCGAGAGCGCGCCGCUGCCUGCUGGCAUGUGGACCGGGUCAAGCGACAAAGGAGAGAAAGAAAUCCAAGUCCUCUCUCACAAAAGUCAAAUGCUCCUGCACAGGGCCGGACUGCAGCGAGGAUUUGCACAGCGGUGCUCGUUAAAUGAUAUGCAGAUGUACGUGAGAGUCCGCUGAAAUCAGUGAGCUAUUUGGAAACAGGCUGGGCUGGAAGCGCUGCGCUCUUGGCGAUUUGGGGAAAAGCUGUUUGCAUUUCUCCCAGCGGGGCUGCCGGCCGUCGCUGACCUCCGUGCGGCUCCGAGCGGUAGGUGCAGCGCGUCCCUCGCCGCCGCGACGGGCGCGCUGGAGGGCGGCGAGGCUGGG
RNAcentral lists this long non-coding RNA (632 nucleotides) under Apteryx owenii (little spotted kiwi). RNAcentral describes it as "lncRNA (ENSAOWG00000012290.1)". The record is from RNAcentral. Lineage: Eukaryota; Metazoa; Chordata; Aves; Apterygiformes; Apterygidae.